UUCUUAAAAAGUCAUCAACAUAACUUUUGUAGCUUAUGAAAUUAUCUACAACUUUGUUUUAGGUGUCAUUUACAUGCAAGGUAUCUAACACCAGUUUCAUAAAACAUCUUUGAAAAGAGGUCUAGGGGGUCAACUAGGUCAAUCUAGGGUUAAUCAUGACUUAGGGGUAUUUUUGGAUAAAACCCCCAACACAAACUUUGUUCAAAAUGUUAUUCUAAAUAUGAUUAAAGUAUAUUGGAAGACAAUGUACACUUGUAUGCAUUGGUCACCCAUUACAAUCAACCAUAGCAAGUCAUAUAGCAAUUCAAUCACAUAGUAUAUGUAGCAAAUGGCAUGUGAUCAUAGUAUGAUGCUCAUGAGUGAUCAUGAUAAUGCUUAUGAUGAUGCAAUGCUCAUGGUUAACAUGCAAGCUAACACUAGGAGUGUUACACAGCGAAUCCCAGGACGACUGAGAAAAUGGAGAGUCUUGUUCGGAGGACUUAAAAACACCAAACGCCUUGCCAAGUGGUAAACUUGGUAGUUAUCUUUUUUCCUUUGAACUAUUUAAAAUAGUUUGCUUAGUUAAUCGGGUUCAUAUCAUCUAGAAAAGAAAAUAAAAAUGUUAAAAAUAGUAAGCCCCAUGUGAGUAUGCUGAUGGCAUAAAACCCAUAAGUACAUUCACAAUGGUGGCAUAAAAUUGAAAUAAAUAUAUUCCUGUCCUAUAAAAAUAAAAAUAUAAAAAUAAAUUAAUGAUUCUACUAAAGAGAGUAACAUUUAUUGAGGAGGCUCAACAUGAUAAAGGCUAGAUAUUUAUGCUAACACUUAACCGGUCCACAAAGCUUUGUUGUCUAUUUGAGCUCCACAGAAUUCUAGGAUCAAAGAAGACUAGCAGACGGAGGACAUUCUAAUUGCUGUCAGGGUGCUGCCGACAUUCAAAUACACCUCCGCCACGUGCUAGCUACAUCAGGAGAAAUUACGUCAAAAUCCAGCUCGGUGGAGAGCACCCCCAUUUAUCUAGCUAAGUGUUCUACUCAUGUUUAUACUUUACUCAAAUAAUAAAAAGAUGCAUAAUCAUCAAAACCCAAAUAAAGAUUUUUUGCUUAUAUCUUUGCUUAGUUUGCUAAAUAAAUAAAUAAAUAAAGUUUGCUAUGAACCCUCAUGAUAAGCUCUCACAUGGAAAUGAUGAAUAGUUGCUCUGCCAUGACUAGUUCUCAAAAUUGAAAUAUCUCUCAAGUUUAGGCAUGACUGUUAUUAAUUAAGAUUUGCUCUAAACCUGAACUUAUGGGAAGAGUACUUGAUCUAAAGUCUAAGUCGUUAACGGAUACGAUAUGGGAAGGUUGAGCUGUUGUUUAUCUGUUCCUAGAGAUGCUAGAAUUCUAGAGAAUUUUAUCUUUGAAAAUCUUUAAAAUAUUGCAUGCUGAGUUCCUGUAUGAUGAGAGUUUAAAGUCCUACCACAGCUAUAUAUACAUGCUUAUUAGACUGUCAACCAUACAUUUACUUUACUGCUUAUGAGCAUUGAGUGUGGUCAAGCUGUGUAGACCCUUAGGAGCUUGUCAUGUGGUUAAAAUCAAGAUUCACUUGCACGUUCACUCAUACAUGCUACUUCUACUCCAGAAGUACGCAUCCACAUACAUCCACUCAUUUCCAUAUCCAGAUUCAUCCAAAAUUAUUCUACUCCUAUCUAGGAGAGAAUAGCCAAAAACAAUAUCGUAUCCUUGUUAUUCCCCGUGAAAUAAAUGCUCGAGAUAUUUUGGUUACUACCACGUGCUACAUUAUUCCAGGAAGGUGAGUGCUCUGAAAAAAAGUGAAUACGAGGAAAUAAAAAGGGCCAAGUGCCCGAAACCUCGAAAAAAAGAAAAGAAAAAGUGAGACGAGAGGUAAAAAUGGACAAGUGUCCGACAGUAGAAUUAGGGGUACAAGAUACCCACCUGAGAGGAAAGAAAAAGAAGAUAUAGAGCAUCUUAUUCUCCUCAAAAUGUUUCAAAAGAGCAAGAAAGGUAUGUAUCCCCUCAAAAGAGCACAAGUUAAAUUAGACUUUCACCAUUGUUAUCACCAUCAUCAUCAUACACCAUUCAUUCGCCACACAUGCACAUCUUGAUUUGACUUAUUGACUUGUUCUUCUGGAUCCAUGGUUUGACUAUGCAAUAAAUGUCUUGUAAGUAUGUAUUAGCUGUCUCCGACCUAUGAGCUGCAGAUAUCAAAACCUUAUUAGAGUAGGGUGAGAGAGAAGGCAAUGCCACUAUGCCUCAUACCAAAAAUACCACAUACUUUGAGAGAAGGCAUACACCAUUACUGCCUUGGUAAGGAUCCAAAAAUACCACAUCUCUCUUAUGUGGUAUUUCUGGAUCCUUUCCAAGGCAGUAAUGGUAUAUGCCUGCUCUCAAAGUAUGCGGUAUUUUUGGUAUGAAGCAUAGUGGCAUUGCCUUCUCUCGCACCCUACUCUAAAAAGGUUUUGAUAUCUGGAGCUCAUAGGUUUGAGAUAGAUAAUACAUACUUACAAGACAUUUAUUGCAUAGUCAAACCAUGGAUCUAGAGAAACAGGUCAAUAAGUCAAAUCAAGAUGUGCAUGUGUGGCGAGUGAAUGGUGUAUGGUGAUGAUAGUGAUAACAAUGGUGAAAGUCUAAUUCUACUUUUUGCUCUUUUAAGGGGAUACAUACCUUUCUUGCUCUUUUGGAACUUUUUGAGGAGAAUGAGAUGCUCUAUAUUUUCUUUUUCUUUCCUCUCAGGUGGGUAUCUUGUACCCCUAAUUCUACUAUCGGACACUUGUCUAUUUUUACCUCUCGUCUCACUUUUUCUUUUCUUCGAGGUUCCGGGCACUUGCCCCUUUUUAUUUCCUCGUAUUUUUGCUCUCAUUUUUUCUUUUUUCUUUUUUUAGAGCACUCAUCUCCUGAAAUAAUAUAGCAAGUGGUAGUAACCAAGAUAACUCGAGCAUUUAUUUCACAGGGAAUAACAGGGAUAGGAAAAAGUUUUUGGCUAUUCUCUCCCGGAUAGGAGUAGAAUAAUUUUACGUGAAUCUGGAGAUGGAAUUGAGUGGAUGUAUGUGGAUGCUUACUUCCGGAGUAGAAGCAGCAUGUGUGAGUGAACGUGUAAGUGAAUCUUGAUUUUAACCGCAUGACAAGCUCCUAAGGGUCUAUACAGCUUGACCACACUCAAUUCUCAUAAGUAGUAAAGUAAAUAUAUGGUUCAUAGUCUAAUAAGCAUGUAUAUAUGGUUGUGGUGGGAUUUUAAACUCUCAUCAUACAGGAACUCAUCAUGCAACAUUUUAAAGAUUUUUAAAGCUAAAAUUCUCCAGAAUUCUAGCAUCUCUAGGAACAGAUAAACAGCAGCUCAACCUUCCCAUAUCAUAUCCGUUAACGACUUAGACUUUAGAUCAAGUACUCUUUCCACAAGUUCAGGUUUAGAGCAGGUUUAAAUUAUAACAGUCAUGCCUAAACAUGAGAGAGAGCUCAAACUUAAAAACUAGGUACAUGGCAGAGCAACUAUUUAUCACAUCCAUGUAAGAGUUUAUCAUUUAAGUUCAAUUUGGCCUAGACACUUUAUUUAUUUUUUAGCAAACUAAGCAAAGAUAUAUAUAAGCACAAAAUUUUUAUUUGGGUUUUCACGAUUAUGCAUCUUUUGAUUAUUUGAGUAAAGUAUAAACGCGAGUAGAAACACUUAGCUGGAUAAAUGGGGGUGCUCUCCCCCAAGCUAGAUUUUGACGUAAUUUCUUCUGAUGUAGCUAGCAGGUUGCAGAGGUGUAUUUGAAUGUUGGCAGCACCCUGACAGCGAUUACUAUGUCCUCCGCCGGCUAGUCUUCUUUGAUUCUUGAAUUCUAUGGAGCUCAAAUAGACAACAAAGCUUUGUGGAACUGGUUAAGUGUUAGCAUAAAUAUCUCUUAGCAUUUAUCAUAUUGAGCCUCCUCAAUAAAUGUUACUCUCUUUGGUAGGAUCACAAUCUUAUUUUUAUAUUUUCAUUUUUAUAGAGCAGAAAAAAUAUUUAUUUAUGCCACCACAGUGAAUAUACUUAUGGGUUUUAUGCCACUCUUAUAUUCACAUGGGGCUUACUAUUUUUUAAUAUUUUUAUUUUCUUUUCAAGAUAGUAUGAACCCGAUUAACAAAACAAGCUAUUUAAAGAAAAUAAAUAAUUUGAAGGGAAAUGACAACUACCAAGUUUACCUCUUGGCACGGCGUUCAGCGUUUUUAAGUCCUUCGAACGGGACUCCUUGUGUUUUCAGUCGUCCUAGGAUUCCAGCGGUGGCUCCUCUUCUAGUACAACUCUCUUCUCUAUCCACACCAGAUUCGGUGCUACGGUCUCCUCUGGACAAUCCUGUUCAAGAUGUAUAUCUUUGGACCUUAUUACAUCUCCUUUGUAGUCUGCCCAUCCAUCCUUGAUGAUUUGCCUCCUCUAGUUUCAGUUGCGUCGCCUUCUUCUCAUCCUGAUCUGCUUAGAAUCUUCAACUAUAUAGUUAGAAUCAUUAAACUAGUGGCGUACCUUCUCAGAGGGGAAGUGCAUGUGGACUUCUCCGGUUCCAAUACAGAUGAUAGCUUUGAUAGUGUUGAGGAACGGUCUUCCAAGGAUGAUGGGUGGAUCAUACUCGUCUUCUCCCAUGUCAAUGACCUGAAAAUCAUCUGAAGCUGAAUGUAUGUUGGUUGUUGGGGCAUGGUUCCAUGCAGGAGCUGAUAAGUGAUUGCGGCCAUUAUGUUGACGUUAGAUCCAGUGUCGUAGAGUGUUGUGUUCAUCCUUUAGGUGCAUCAUUUGAUUAGGUGUGGACCUUGACGUCUGCACCUCUUGAUACGGUGUCACCCAUGUUCUUCGUUUGCCCAGUAGUUCGAAGUGCGGCGUUGGCAAUAUCCUGCUCAGUGUGUUUGUGCUCGUAGAUCCAGGUCCUUCACUUGGUGGAGUCUGAGAGUUGAAAACUCCUCCAUGUUUUGCUUGAAGUGUACCUGUUCAUAGAGACAAGGCAGAGAUCAAGUGCAUGGGCCCUGUUGGUGGAAAACACCAACAGAACCAAAAGUGUAUUUGUUCUUCUCUAACCUUAAGCAUAGUGAGCAAGACAAAGUUGAUGGAUCAUGAGUGUAGCAUUUGAAACAUUUAUCAGAUCAGAUGGCUCAACCUAAUGGAAAGAUAAUCUAUCUAUAUUUAAGUUUUGUUUAUAUCUCCCAAAGAUUGAAUGUGCACAUUUUAGCUUAUAUGAUUAGGAGUGUGGGAUCACGAACGUAGUACUAAGAACAAAGAUUAAAGGACUAAACAUGUUGAAUUAAUUGGGUUGGUUAAUUUAUGUUUGUCUCUUUAUUCAUGUGAACGCCAGAACCAAGGAGAAGCUUAUAAAAGUGAUAGUCAAGUACCUUAAGAUGUUACCUUACUUGAAGAGUGAUGGUACAGUAUUACCUUGUGGAAGCUUUCCUUUCUUAGUGGUUGUGAACCGUGUUUGUGGCACUCUUUGUCUCGUUCCAUGGAUCAUCUGUCCAAAUCGUUAAACUUCAUGUGUCUCAUUUGUCUCCAAUGUGAGUUUGUAUAUCAGGACUUCCUAGGUUGAUAUUGAAAGUUUUCUUGUAGGGGUUAGUUCGACAAAAUAUACCAAUGUCUACUCAAGCAGUUUUUUAGUUCAGUAACCAAACUAGACUCUAUGUCUAUUCAGAUUAAGGAAAGCUGUUUAACCUAAGCACCAUGCUUAAUUUAAAAGCCAAUAGAAGUAUGUGCAGUACUUCCAAACUAACACUUACUAGGAUAAACAAAGGUAGCGUGAUGGUAUUUAUAGAGAUCUACUCAAGUGGAGAUGAAGUAGUGUGAUUAGUAUUUAACAAAUUGAGCAUGUCUCAAAGGUAGGGACAACCAACAAAGCAACAUGGCAAAGGAUGUUUUUAUGUAAAGUACUCCCCCAAUCUUGAAUUUUGCAGAAUUCAAGAUUGGAUGAAUUUAAUUCAAUGUUGCAUGAUGAUUGGUUGGGCAUACCUUGUGCUUGUCAUUCAUCCGAUCUUCUUGCUCUAAUCCUGGAAAGGUUAGUGACAAGAAUACCCGAAGGAAUAAUUCUACAAUUAUCUUUAUAUGCUCAAUACACAAGGCAAUGUUGCAAAUAAUUAAAAGUUCAUGUUACUAUCUGAUAAGUGCUUGUUUUAGGACACUAAGCUUGUCCUUGGGAAACCAUCAAAAUGUGUUGGUGAGGUAUUUAUGAAAUAACUUCCAUGCUCACUGUUGUUUCUCUCAUUUUCAAACUCCAAGGAUGAUUCUUCAUGAAUGCUUAAAAUUCCUCUAGGAUUGUCUCUCAAGUUUGUUUUAUCCAUCCAUUCAAUGGUGAUAGCACAUGGAUUUUUAAUGCCCUCUAGCCAUUGAUGUUGCUCUUCUCGAUCCUCCUUGUGGUCUUCGUAACUCUUAUGCAUGGGAUGUCUAGAGAGAUUCAUAGGGUCAUCGGGAGGUUUAAGAGAAAGAGCAUAGUAGAAAUUAUUAGGCUCAAGGAUGGGUUUAAAGAUAGUUUUGAAUGAGUCAUCAAAAGUGAGCGUAGAAGGGGAGAAGAUGAGAUUGUCUUCUAAAUGGCUUCGCUCUCCUUCUAUUGCAUCACUUAAGAUGCCAUCGUUGAGUCUUUCUAGAUGUCCAUCAAAGGGAUUGGAUUUGAGAUGCUUUCUAAGAGAUCCCUUCUUAGGAAGGUUCAAACUAUAUGUACUCAAAGGUCUCUUAUGAAGCAGGAAGUUUAAGCUCAUCCCAAAAUGAAUUUGCAAAGGUAGAAUUUCUUCUUCCCUAAGAUGAUUUUGGAGAACUACUAGUUUGGGUUGGAUAGCCGAAUCAUUGGAUUGAAAUGUUUGGAAAUCGGCUAUUGAAACUUCCUUUCCUCUUCUGGGAGAUUAUUCCUUCUCUAUCUCUAGGAUUUUUUUCUGAAGACUAGUGCAAGAAGGAUGUCCACGAAUGAAGACAUACCUUGCUUUACUAAUAGAUAAAGAAAGAAAAACUCUACCAAAGGUUAUAUGAUUAAGACCAAUGUGAAAAUAUCGAGGAAAAACAUGGUCUUGUAGGGCUAGGUUUAAACCAAAAUUUAUAGAAAGAUUAAAAGAUUCCCUAGGUGUAGCUAAAAGUUCAUUAUCUUCUUGAUUAAAAGAUAGGACCUCGGCUAUAUAAAAGGGUUGGUUUUGACCUAUUGCAAUCAACUCCAGACACAUAUCAUAAUUAGGGGCAAAGAAAGGACUUGUUGACUCCCAUGGUCUAUGGCUGGUCUCCGAAGGUGCAAAAAAUUCAAUAAUAGGUGUGGAAUUUGAGUUAUCUAUAAAGAUGGAAAAAAUAAAAACAUAAAAUAAUAAAUGUAUAAAAGUAUAAUACAAGAUAAUAGCAAGACUUAAAGUUAUCUCAGCAAACUGUCUUUCUCCCCAGCAACGGUGCCAAAAAUGCUUGUUGAUAUUUGGUAAUGCCAUCAGGAAAUGAUCCACAAGCGCACGGAUAUCGGUGAGCACUUCACCUUGGAGGUUAUCCAAAGUAUCGUAUUUUUAUUUUUACCACUGGGAGAAAGCGUGCAUCUGACUAACCAAAUCUAUUGCUACUACCCUUUAGGCCACAAACAAUGUGAUUCGUUGUGAGUGAUGUAUAGAGAAGACUACAACUGCACUCUCGUUCUAACCAUGGUAAGGAUGAUCUAUUGUUCUAUUGGGGAGGCUCACGGAAUCUAGACACUACAAAGGAUGUUCGACCCGCACCUAUAAACCCUAUCGAUCCUGCUAAUGUGACGUGGGCUACAAAGGUAACUCAGAAAUGUCACGUUCCUCGCUUCUACCACGGUCUGGCUAGACAGGGGAUAUCUAUGAGUACCCUAGUCCAAACACCACGUUUACGCUAGCAAUGAUCACUCUAAACACAACCGGAAGAGAUUAAAGUAAACUCAUAAACCAAAGAACAAUAAAACAAAGAACUUACUAGAAUUUAUAAGUCGAAAUACUAAAGAAUCCUAGGAGCAAGCCUCGGGUUAGGAGACUUGAUCCCGCAGGUACAACCUCGGAGUAGACACCGACAGGUCGGUCUUCCUCCGAUCUACACCUCCACUCUAUCUCUCUCAAUCUAAAAGAACUUAGAACAACUAAUUCUAAUCUCACAUUGGAUGCUAAGCCCUAAUUCUCUAUAGAGGAAAGGUUAUCCUUCGAGGGCACCUCUCAACUCUAUAAUUAUGUGUUCUCCUCCAGGGGCCAGGGGCCUUGCUUAUAUAGCCUCCUCAUUUUGUGCCUUUUUGGUUCAGCAGGCGAUGUUGUACUAAACUUUCCACCAUAUCUCAUUAAAAUGCACAUAGGCCUUAAUGGACCAAAAUCUGAUUUGGGCCCAAUUAAUCCCGCAGCUCUUUUAUGUGGAGUCCUUCUUUUAUUAAUAUCUCUUGAUUCUGAACUCCAGAUAUAGCAAAUAAUAUAUGCAUUUCGAUCAGCUCGACGAGAUCUUUGUAAUGGUGUACUCCAUUUUGUGAUUGGUGCUUGUACCAGGGUGGGCGCCCAAGGGGGGAGGGCGGCCGGCCUACCCCUAGGCCCGUUCGGCCUCCCGUUUGUUCCCGUGGCUUCUGGAGUCUUCUAGAUGAUAGAAAAUUGCGCGGCACGUUAAUAUCUCUAUGUAAACCCGACGUGUGGGCCUUUCCUCCAUAUUUCCUGAUAACCGCCUAUAGAAAUAGACAAACGCCAAAACUCGUGGAAUUCUAUCAGAUGAAACCCUAAGUCUAGGUGUUGGUUGCAUUUGGAUCCUUUUCUUUAUUGAUUUGAUGAUUAUAUUUGGUACUUAAGGACCGUCAACAGAGACCAGGGCACCCGCCCACCUUCUGUGCCCAAAUGGAGUCCUUUUCGGGGAUCAUGCUCCACCGACCUAAGGGAUCAAGGAAAACCAUGCGAUUAAUGUCGGUUUGAUCCGAUGGCCCAGAUUCAUCUUAAAAGACUAUAUAAGCAAGGCUCCCUAGCCCCUGGAGAGCAUACCUCUUCUACAGAAUCAAAGCAAGGGUUUUAAUUCUUCAUCCAAGUGGAGAGGAUCCCUCUAGUUCAUCUAGUUCUAGUUCUAGUUCAUCUAGUUCUAGUUCUAGUUAGUUGUUGAUGCAAAACUGAUCUGCAAACACAAAGGGCUAAUACCCGAUUCAAACGUUAAGGCGUGCCAGCCGAUUUGACCUUGCUAUCGGCAAAGGUGAUAACUCGAAUACUUUAGUCCUGACAACAGCGAUGCGCCCGGGUGUCACGGCUAAGAGGUACUCACGCGGAACUCGAGAACACGCCGAGCUUAAGUCGACGAAUUCCUAAGAACUCGUAAUAAAAAGGAAAAAGUAUGACGAAGUCGUCGAAAAAGUAGAUGCUGGAAUAUGAGUAAAAACGUGUGUUUGAUUGAUUUCUUGAUAUAUUGAUUACAAGGUCCUAGGGUUUAUAUUUAUACCCUGCUCAAAGAGCUACAACCAGACACGAUUAGAAUUCGAAUUCCAAAUUACACGGAAUCCGUAUACAAAACGAUGCAAAUAACUAAGGAAAUAAUAAAACUAUCCUUCGUGAUAACCCGAAACUCCUCCAGAUGACAACUGGCAGCUUCCGGACUCCUCCUUCGCGUCAUCGGCAAUCCCCUUGCCAUAGUCAUCGGCAGAUCUUUUUACCCAGCCAUCGGCACCAUAUUACUGCCUGUGGACUUAAUCACAUUAAACUUCUCCCUCAUCGGCAACCAUCCUCAUCAACAACCCGCAUUGUACUGCCACCCUAUCCUGCCAUCCUGGACACGUGCCCAAAAACGGUGUCAACACAUGCCCCCCAGUUUCGGAGUAUAAAACUAUUAAUGCUCCGAAAUUCUCUGCAGUAAUGAUGCCUUUUCCGCAAUUAAUGCUCCUAAUCUGGUAACCGACAACCUCAAUCUGGACAACUCUGAUCCUAAUCCUCCGCAGAUUCCUCGAAAUUCCCAACUUCCUAAACGGGCAUCUUUCUUGGUCGUACAUCGGCAACAAUUCCGUUAUAAAGAUCUGCCGAUGCUCUGACCAGGAUAUUCGCAAAAAACGGUUACCCCCCGUCUAUCCGCCCAUCGGCAAGAUGACCGUUAUAGAAUAUUGCCGAUGGACCGACCAGGAGAUCGCGCACAGUAAAAUAUCUUUAGAUAAUGACCGCUUCCUGUCAAAUCACCUGCACAAUCCCUGGAUUACCGUGCGAACAGUUACCAUAUCCAUCUGAGUACCCUCGGGCUUCUCGGAUGCGGCAAAGAGAUAAGACGGAUUUGCCCUUGCCCAUCUUGUCCUAUAAAUAGUUCCUUCUUGGGUACUCCUCCUCCAUUACACCAUUCUACUAUCCAACUUUGCUUUUCCAGCGGCGGCGCCAUCUACAACCCUCAAGACCUCCGACAAGCACUCUUCUUCAUCAACUCUGGUGCCCUCCAACGUCCUUUUCACGACAAGAUGGCCAUUGGCUUCGUCGUCCCUGAGGUCAGACUUCCAUCUCAUCUGCUGUACCUUUUUCUCGCAUUCCUGUUCAUCUGCGAUUCAUCUUACCGAAUAUUUUCCUUUCCCUUUUUCUUUGUAUCUUUAUUCUCCAAAACACUAGGAGUUGUCCAACAAAAUUGUCAUCCCUACCGAUCAACCACACCUUCAGUGCCUCGGCCCUCUAGGGGAUCCAGAUCCAACUGACCUUAUCAAUGCAGAAACCAACAGGAUUCCCUUUAGAGCUGAAAACUUUUCUUUAGAUCUGUGGAAAGACACCUUUCGUUCUUGGCCCAGCCCUACCGUAGGGUGGAAAGACUGGUUUUUGAGGGUCAGCAAUUCUUAUGAAGUUCAAUGGGGUGAGAGAAAGCUAGCUCAAUGCAUUAGGCUAUCCAUUGCCGAUAUGCACAGGAACGAGUCAUUGCUGAUAGCUGCAUCCUACUUUUGGUCAGACACCCUCAAUGCUUUUGUUUUUGGCCACGGCCCUGCUUCUCCUACCCUUGCCGAUGUAGCCAUGCUUACUGGGCUAGAUAUAUCUUCUGCCGAUAGCACCCACUUUUUUGAUACCGCCCCCAGUACCAAAGUGGAGACUCGCGCUAUCGGCGGUUGGUCAGGGUACAUCCAGAAGUACCGCGGGAGAGGGCCUGUCACCACAAAGGAGCAAACCACCUUUCUGAACAUGUGGCUGGACAAGUUUGUAUUCUGUGGUCGAUCGGCAGGACCGACUUCUGUCUAUCUAUCGGCAGCAGAAAGACUGGCUAGCGGCGGCCAAUUUCCUCUCGGCCGAUAUCUGCUCGGCGCUGUUUACCACCUUCUUCAUCAGGUAGCCCAGAAACUCCUGCUUGGCCAAUCCAUCGGCAACUUGGGAGGCCCCUGGUGGUUUAUUAAUAUGUGGCUCAAUCUGCAUCUGCAUAAGCGCCUUGAUUUCAACUUGUUCUCACAGCACUUCCCAAGAGAUAUAGCCGAGAAUCAUGUGUUAGGUGAAGAGGAAUCGGCAACGCGUGCCCCCUUGAACUUUGGUGAAGCCGUUAUAGUCUUACCCGGUUCAGGGAACAAUCCGGAUCAGAUCGGCCGAUUCUUCGAGACUCUGUAUGAGGGUCUGGCCAGAGAUGAACGACCAUGGCUGGCUUAUGACGACCCAGACAGCAUGCUCCCUCUGACUUUCAAUCCAUUUGAUGAAGCUCUCGACAGGGACAAUGAGGUGAUGAUGGCAAUCGUGACUCCCAGAGCCAUACCAGUGAAUUUCUUCGGUAGCACGAAAACCUCCCCCCAAACCUAUGAAUUUUAUAAUCCAUCGGCAUUAGCUCGCCAGCUAGCUUUCGGCCAAUUGCCGAUUGCACUUCCUUAUGCCGAUGUAAUAAAGCCCAGAGAACCCAUCGCCAACCUCCUCGAGUGGACUCGAGUAGCCCAGCUACCACCAAAUGCCGAUACAGAUGUAGAUCUGUCAGAAUGGGUUCCAGCUGCCUUUAUCACUCAGGCAUACAAGCUAUGGUGGGCAGAAUGGAAAGAGAAUCUAUUCUGCAGAUCGGCCCUCUCAUACCGCGGCAUGAUCGACCCUGAAUACGAAGUCCCUGAUGACAUUGUAAGUAUUUUAAACCGAUGUCUCAUUUUCCAAUACUAUUCCUAUCGGUAACUUACCCCUGUAUUUCUUUUGCAGACUGACAACACCCCCCCAUCGGUUAGCAGGAGUGGCAAGCCGAUCGACUUAUUCCCAUCAGGCCCGAUCUCCUCAAUCGGCCAUAAGGCUCCCACUCUGGCUUCCAUCGUGCACCGGGGUGCGCGCCUCAAGAAAGUUACCACCAGGAAAACUCAGACAUCACCAACGGUAACUGCUUCCACUCUGGCGCAAGCUUUCAAGGCAAUCUGUUAAAACCUUUUUCAUUUAUGCUGACUAUCUUUGUAUCGGCUAUCUGUGCUCAUAAACUCCUUUUUGUUGUUGCAGCAAACUGGUGCAUCGGCAAAAGCCAAACGCCAAGGUGCCGAUGCCCCCCAGUCUAGCCAGCCAAAGAGGAAGGGCAUCCAAGGUGCUAAGGCUGGAACAAAGCGCCAGAAAGUGGCAACUCCUCCUCCUCCUCCGGUGUCUCCAAUCCCGGUGGAAUCUUCCCCUUCUUCUCCAGAAGUCCAGACACAGCAAGUACCAUCUCCCCAACCAAUACAGGAAGCACCACAGAUGGAAGAACCCCAGCAGGAAGAACCUCAAACGGAAGGUACAUCAGCUGACGCAGGUGAACAAACAACUGGCCCGGCAGGUCCAGUUAUAUCAUCGGCGGUUUCCCCGAUUCAGGCGACUGUUGUUUCUCCUCCGGGUAACAUAUCUCCACAAUACUUCCGCCGAUAAACUUAUUUUUAUUUAGUCUCAUAAUCCUUCCUGUCUUCUUUCAGGCGAUAUCGUUCCAUCGGCAACAUUUGCCGAUCAACCUGUAGCUCCAUCGGCAUCUUUGAGUCAAAGGCAAGAAAUCGCCUUGAAGCACGUAAGUCAUCCAAUUUUCCACCAGUAUCGUCUGCCGAAGUUUUGACCAUAAAACUGACUUAUUUCAUCUUCAUUUUCAGGAACAAGAUUCUCCCAACAGCUUAUUCUCCUUCGCCAUUGAUAUCUUCGAAGAAGAAGGCGAGAAAGCAAGCUCCUCUCGGGCAGUUGGAACUGUAUCGGCAGAAACCAGAGCUAAGCUGGAAGAGCUAUCGGCCAUACUUCAUCAAGACACAACUCAGCUGGUCAAUGAUUCUGACCUAGCCAAAGCCCUGUUCAAGACCCUUAGAGGCCAAAUUCCUGCCGAUGCUGAAGAAACACUCUUCCAUGCUGCACACCUAGAAAGCCGUCAGCUACAGUACCAGAGAGCCACUCGACGCCUUGCCGAUAGAGCCGCUCAAAUCUAGCUUUCUGAGGAGAUGAUGAAAGAAAAACUCUUAGCCGAUGAGAAACAUAAGAACAUCGGCACCUUAAAGUCCUCAGGUGAUGCACUGAAGCAGAAAGUGUCUGAUCUAUCGGCAAAAAGAGAAGCUCUACUAGCCGAACUCAAGCAAGUAGAGGACGCUCUGUCCCAAGCCCAGCAAGAAGAGAGUCAGCUGUCGGAGACCAUCAAGCACCUUGAACAAGAACGAAACGUCCAUGGUCGCAAAGCGCUGCAGCUGAAGAGGAAGCUGAAGCCGAUAGAAGGUUCUGCCGAUGAUGAUAUCAAAGAGAUAGAGACGGCCAAUCAGAUUCGGCUGCGCGCCAUAUCAGCAAUCCAAGCGCUGCUGAACAUCUGAAGCUUUCAUCGGCAACACACCUUUGUUUUUCCGCUUUUAGCUUUUAGUCUAGCCGAUAAGACUGUUAUCGGCAUCUUUUGAAACAUUAAGUCUGCCCCUGAACAUUUAAAUCCAGCCGAUAGGAGUGUUAUCGGCACUUAAACUUUUAUGCGUCGACCCAUAUGCUGGGGUAGUACUUCUUUAAAUAUUUGCCAUUUAAUGCUCUGGGAAAUUCAACUCCUUCGAGACUUUCUAGAAUAUAGGCAUUACCAGGAGCUGAGUGUCUUAUCCGAUAAGGACCUUCCCAAUUAGGAGACCACUUUCCAAACUUCGAACUUUUAGUCCCAACUGGCAAAAUCAACUUCCAUACCAAAUCCCCAUCGGCAAACUCCUUAGCCUUUACUUUUUUAUCAUACCAUCUAGCAACUCUCUUCUUAUUUUCUUCUAUACUCAUUAAAGCCUUUAACCGAUGCCCUGCUAAAUCAUCUAACUCAUCAGUCAUCAAAGUGGCAUAAUCAUCGGCAGCCAAUUGAUCUUGAAAAGAUAAUCGCCUAGAUCCAGCCUUAAUCUCCCAAGGCAACACUGCAUCAUGUCCAUACACCAAUUGAUAGGGUGACACCUUGGUUGAUCCAUGACAAGCCAUCCGAUAAGACCACAGUGCUUCAUUUAACAACGUAUGCCACCGCCUAGGAUUUUCUUCUACCAAAUCAUCGGCCGAUGUGAACCCCUGGCCUAAUUUUCCAUCAUCGGCGAAUCUAUCCAUUAAAAACCGUCGUCAGAACCGACUGCUUGGAUCGGUGGAAUCUCAUAAUCGGCAACUUUGAGAAAAUCUUUCUCCCAAACUUCUCCUGAAAUGCACCUAGUCCUUUCAUGAGUAUCCGCUUCUGCCGAUGCGAUAACAUAAGAAGAAUCCCCUGGGACAAUCUCAAUCUUGUCACCUACCCACUGAACCAAGCACUGAUGCAUUGUAGAUGGGACACAACAAUUGGCAUGAAUCCAAUCUCUCCCCAAUAAUAAAUUGUAGGCACCUUUUCCGCUGAUCACGAAAAAGGUUGUCGGCAAGGUUUUGCUGCCGAUGGUCAACUCUGCACAUAUCGCCCCCUUGACUGGAGACACGUUUCCCUCAAAGUCUUUGAGCAUCAUAUCGGUCUUGGUCAAAUCUGGAUCCCCUUUCCCAAGCUUCUGAUAUACUGCAUACGGCAUAAUAUUAAUAGCAGCUCCACCAUCAACUAGGAUCUUAGUCAUUGGCUGCCCAUCAACCCUUCCUUUGAGGAACAAAGCCAUAAGAUGCUGCCUCUCGUCAUCGGCAGGUUUCUCAAAGAUAGCCGUCAUCGGAUCCAGAGCCAACUGAGCUAUCUGAUCAGAAAAUUCCAACUCAUCGUCACUAGCUGGUGCAAGAAACUCCAUCGGCAACAUGAAGACCAUGUUGACGCCAGCCGAUGGACCUUCCCUCUUAGUGUCUGACGGCUACCGACUUCCAGAGUUCUCUCCUUUAUUUAGCUCUUCCUGCCUUUCACGUUGCAACCUCCUUUUCUGUGUCUUGGUUAAUCCUUGAGGGCACCAUGGAGGAAGUGGCCUUUGCCUCACCGUCGGGCGUUGGUUCUCUCUUGACUCCAUGCGAUGCGUGUUAGCAUCCCUGCAAAAUAUGAAUUCAUCGGGAACCCACGCAUCAGCCAUCCCUUCGAGCUCCUCUUGGUUCCGGGGAAAAUACCGGACACGGUCACUGAGCCGAUCGUGAACGCUAAGCCUGCCCCCCAGCCGAUCAUGAACUGACGCCCUUCCUCUGAUUGGCCCAUUAAAUCGCCGUUCACCAUCAUGAUAACGCCGAUCGGUUCUACCGUACCGAUCAUAACCGUUGCACUCAGGGCAGUCUCUGACAGUAGGAAGCUUGAUAUUUUCCUCCCAACAAUGGAUGAAGAAUGGACAAUUCCAAUGAUCCCUGUGCCGAUUCCACUCCUGUCGGCGUCUUUCUUCUUCCCGUCGAUAAUCUUCCUGCUGGCGCCGAUACCGAUCUUCCUGUUGUUGCCAAUUUCCUCGUGGCCUUCUAUGAGUUAUGACGACGCCAGAUCGAGGAAGCCUUCCUGAUCUAGCUCCUUCCUGGACCAAGCCCUUACUUCUUGCAUCGGCAGUAGUAACUUGAUGCUGAGGAUCUACCGAUGCACUCUUCUCAGCUGUUUCCGACGUUAAGACCUUGGCCUUCCCCUUAGCAUCCAACAUGUUUGUCGGGAAAGGAUGUUGGUCUAUCUUCAUCGGCUUCUGGGCUUUGGAACUGUCAAAUUUGAUUCUUCCUGACUCUAUAGCCGAUUGCAGCUGCUGUCUGAAUACUUUGCACUCGUUGGUGUCAUGGGAAGUUGCAUUAUGCCACUUGCAAUAUCUCAUCCUCUUCAACUCUUCUGCCGACGGGAUCACGUGGUUAGGUGACAGUUUGAUUUGACCUUCCUGAAGUAGAAAGUCAAAUAUCCUAUCGGCCUUGGCGGUGUCAAAGGCGAACUUCUCUGGUUCCUUCUGCCCAAAAGGACAAGACAUCGGCUUCUUGUUUUUUACCCACUCGGCCAAACCGAUUACUGGUUCCUCAUCGGAAUCUGAGCUUGUUGCUUCGUCAACAAAUGACACUUUCUUAUUCCAUGCCCUCUUAGGCUCGAAAGGCUUGAUGUCUUGAUCAGAUAUCCUCUGCACCAAAUGACUUAAACUUUCGAACUCCUGGGAGGCAUACUUAUCCCUGAUAUGUGGCAACAAACCUUGGAAAGCCAAAUCGGCUAGCUACCGAUCAUCCAGAACCAGGCUAUAGCAUUUAUUCUUGACCUCUCGUAUCCUCUGCACAAAUCCCUCAACCGACUCAUCAUUACGUUGCCUUAACUUGACCAAGUCGGUGAUCUUCUUCUCAUGAACCCCCGAGAAGAAGUAUCUGUGGAAUUGCUUCUCUAGAUCGGCCCAAGUAAUUACUGAGUUGGGAGGUAAUGAUAUGAACCAAGUAAAGGCCGAUCCAGACAAUGAUGAUGAAAAUAGACGAACCCUCAAUUCGUCCCUGUUACCAGCCUCUCCACAUUGAAUAAUGAACCUGUUGACAUGCUCCAUGGUUGACGUGUCGUCCUGUCCGGAAAACUUUGUAAAAUCCGGUACCUUGUACCGAUGUGGAAGCGGGAUCAAAUCAUACGCUGGAGGAUACGGUGUCCGAUAAGAAUAAGUGUUGACUUUGGGUUUUAUCCCAAUUUGUUCCCUCAUUACUUCAGCAAUCUUAUCGGCCCAAUACGCAUCGGCAUCUUGCCGAUGAGGCGGCUGCGGUUCUGGCACUUGGUGGCGAACCUCCACGUGUCUGUUUGGGACGUGACCUGCAUGGAACAUUGUAUUGGUCCCCUGUCCUCCAAUCUGCGGACUACCAAACUGCUGUCCACCGAUUGGCUGUCCUCCGAGUUGCUGCCCAAAAUUUAUUGGGUGGUUGGGAAUCCCCUGACCUUGGAACCCGGGAUAAACCUGCCCUUGCUGGAACCCCGUAGUCUGAUAACCUUGCUGGGGCGACUGUGGAAAGGCUUGCUGUCCAAGCCAUCCAUUAUUAGCGUUCAUCGGCAUAGGUGCUGCCGAUGAUUGGUAAUUGGGUACCGUCGUUGAAUUGACAUACCCCGACUGGGCCAUAGGCCUCUGUUGCAUCAGCAUUGACUCUGCCGAUGCGUUGGGCAUCUGGAACAUUGAAUCUUGAGGAUUUCCAGUGUGAGGCCUUGCAGUAGUAGUUGUGGUAUACCGAGGACUCUGGUUCACCGGCACAUUGGAAGGCGCCGAUGUCAUAGGAGUUUUGCCCCUCAUGUCAGUUAUCUGUGAUGUUCCCGGCGUCAACUCUGGAGGCAUACCAUAACCCCACCAGUUAGGAGGAAGAUUUAACCCUGACAUUGCCGAUGCCAACAUAUCUGUUGUCAGUUUAUGCUGCCCAACUGAAAUUUGUGGGUUGGUUGCCAUCGGCAUAGAUAGUGCACCAGUAGUCCCCAAUGUACUUGGAGGGACGGCAGACUGUGCACUUACAUUCGUCAAGGCAGCCGAUGGAGCCGUGACCUCUGGUGCCGUUGGCUGAUGAUGGGAGGGCCCCACAUAAUCUGGCGGGAUUUGUCCUUCCUUGAAUGUUCUUGCCACGGCGUUGAAAACCGUAUCAGACAGUACGCCAGCUUGGUUAAUCAACGCUCGAUUGAUGGCAUUGUCUACCAUAUCUUGAAGCUUGCCAGGGUUGGCGUCGAAGGUGACCUGCCGUGGUGCCGGCAGUGCAUCUUUCUGGACCACUUCGCCGCUCCUGUUUAUGCUGAAAGACUUCAGGCACUGCUGCUUGAACUCUUCCAUGGCUUGGGCAAUAGCUUGCUUUUGCUCAUCCUUGAGGUUGGCCUCCGUCACAGGGAUGACGUUCUCUUGAUCGAGGUCGGAGAUCGACAUGUUGAUCUUGAUCUUGAAUCAGUCCCACUGGGCGUGCCAAAAGAUGUGUUGAUGCAAAACUGAUCUGCAAACACAAAGGGCUAAUACCCGAUUCAAACGUUAAGGCGUGCCAGCCGAUUUGACCUUGCUAUCGGCAAAGGUGAUAACUCGAAUACUUUAGUCCUGACAACAGCGAUGCGCCCGGGUGUCACGGCUAAGAGGUACUCACGCGGAACUCGAGAACACGCCGAGCUUAAGUCGACGAAUUCCUAAGAACUCGUAAUAAAAAGGAAAAAGUAUGACGAAGUCGUCGAAAAAGUAGAUGCUGGAAUAUGAGUAAAAACGUGUGUUUGAUUGAUUUCUUGAUAUAUUGAUUACAAGGUCCUAGGGUUUAUAUUUAUACCCUGCUCAAAGAGCUACAACCAGACACGAUUAGAAUUCGAAUUCCAAAUUACACGGAAUCCGUAUACAAAACGAUGAAAAUAACUAAGGAAAUAAUAAAACUAUCCUUCGUGAUAACCCGAAACUCCUCCAGAUGACAACUGGCAGCUUCCGGACUCCUCCUUCGCGUAAUCGGCAAUCCCCUUGCCAUAGUCAUCGGCAGAUCUUUUUACCCAGCCAUCGGCACCAUAUUACUGCCUGUGGACUUAAUCACAUUCAACUUCUCCCUCAUCGGCAACCAUCCUCAUCAACAACCCGCAUUGUACUGCCACCCUAUCCUGCCAUCCUGGACACGUGCCCAAAAACGGUGUCAACAUUAGUUCUAGUUGUAAUCUAGAAAAUAGGGACAGAGAAGAGGAGAGCGGAGGAGGAGCCGAAUCUGUCGGAUCUUCCUCAACAUUGUACUUUUGCAGCAACUGGUUCGUUCUGAAUCGUUCUCCAAGUUCUUCAAUUCAUAAUUCAUGAGUUAUUUAAUUACUUUUAUUUACAUUCAAGUUAUUUAUUGGAUUUCCGCUUGCAUCAAGUGCUCUAGUCUUUAUAACGCUAGAGUUGUAAUUAAUAGAUUAGAUGUAGUGUUUAGUCUUGCAAUUACCUGUAAUUGCACCCAAUCCUACGGAUUGUUGUGGUAGCCCUAGGGUAGUGACAGCCCUAACGGUCGAUGUAUUCCACCUCGUUCGGAUUGGUAGGACCGUAGUCAGAGCUUCCUAGCCCCCUUCUCAUCUCUUUAUGUGGAUAGUGUUCUGAUGUCCUAGAAUAAAUAAUCUUUGUAGUAAUUCUUGAUUCUUAGAUCAACUAGAGAACUCUCAGGAAACUUCCUCCCUUCCCACCAAAAAUAAUUAUAUAGUUAUCCUUGGGCGAUCUUGAAUCUUAAUUAGUACACUCACGUUCCCUGUGGAAAAUCGAUACUCUGGAAUACUCUCGGGUCAAAGCUACAUCGGUAUCCGUGUGCUUGCGGAUUUUUCUGUUUGCGUUUAAAAUACCCAACAUCCUCAUCGGUCGAGCCUUAUACUAGUUUCAGCUUCUUCUUCAUCUGUAGCGCCUUGUGUCGACGAAAGCUAGUCGGCAGUCUACCUUGGGGUAUACCCACGGUAGUAGUUUAUCGGUAGACGGUGCGCAAGCUAUGAACUUGACGGUGACACAAGAUACGGACAAGGUUUUUAUCCAGGUUCGGCCGCCGUGUGGGCGUAAUACCUACAUCCUGCGUCUGAUUGUAUUGAUGUGGAUUGUGUUGAGAUAUUGUGUCCUAGGGGGGUCCCUUGCCCCUCCUUAUAUAGUCCAGAGGGCAGGGUUACAAAUCUAGAAACUAAUCCUAGUCGGUUACAAUUGCCAUAGAUAGCACAAUAUGAAUUCCUAUUCUAACCGACUAGAAUCCGGCUUGAUCUCCACGUCUUGUUUCCUUGCGCAAAACUUCGAGCAGUUGGAUCAAGCCUCAGACUGUCUUCGUGAUGGGCCAAACCUCCCGGCCCAAGUCUAGCCGUAACGGUAUAGGGGUUUAUACUCCCACAGCUAGUCCCCGAGCACCGUGCAUUGUGAUGUAACAUGCCGUCUUGAGCUUCUUCGACAAGUGAGGCUUGGCGUCUUUGAUAAGCAAGGAAGUCGCCUGAACAGUUGCAACAGUAUUUUAACCAACUCAAAAGACAGUUGAUCAACAUUGUCAUCGAAGAAGCAGGUUGUUCGAAGAAUGCAUGGUGCUCUUAAUCAAAAAAGAUUUUUUCCUAGUGAAGUGUGCCCACUUUACUUUUCUGAAAAGUAUAGACCUUAAAAAAGCAAGCAUAUUCACCGCAAGGUGAAGUGUGCCCACUUAGUCCCCAAGCCUGGUAGUAGGUGACGUAGGCACGUGGUGCCAGGGUCAAAAAAAGUCUUCAUAGAAAUUCUAAAACUGAGAUGCAUCGCCAGAUGUAUCGCACCGAUGUAGUCCCCGAGCUUGCUUGAAGGCGAAGCAAGAGCCUUGUAGCAAGGUCUAAAAAAUUAAAAUUAUCUCGUCCAGUCCCCAAGCUAUGGUUGGAGAGUAAUCAAAGCAAGUUUCCGAGCACAAGACUAGGAUUGAUUGAUGAAUCUCCGAGCACAAUCGGCAGUCAGUACAGUCCCCGAGCACAGCAUGUAGACUAACCAGGCAGUCCCCGAGCGUGGUUGGAAACGUAAACGUGCUCAGUGGUUGGCAUAUAUGAAUGGUUGUAAAACGAGUGUGCUAGUCGGUCAGUCCCCGAGCGUACCACACUCGGUGGUCGGUACAAGCGAUGAAGAUGCCAGGAGAGCAGACUAGUCAACCAGUCCCCAAGCAUGUGAUGCUCAGUGGUCGAUGCAGUCAAUCGAAAUGUCAAGAGAGAAGACUAGUCGACCAGUCCCCGAGUUUGUGAUGCUCGGUGGUCGGUCCAGUCAAUCGAAAUGUCAAAUGAGCAGACUAGUCGACCAGUCCCCGAGUUUGUGAUGCUCGGUGGUCGGUGCAGUCCAUCAAAUAUGUCACGUCCGUUCCACCAACAGCCCCACUUCUCUUUUUUGAAAAUAACAUAUCGCCGUAUUAAUGUGUGAUGGGCAGAGCGCCCUGGCACAUUGUCAGGCUGUUGCGUAAAAAGGUGCGCCUGGUAACUGUGCAGCCGCUCUUUGUGCGGCCCAAGAAAAAGAAACCAUCAAUUACGUGGAAAAGUCAUCGUAUUAACUGUGAUAAAUAUUCAAAACCGAAGCGUCGCAGCCACCGCAAGAUCCGCCCACUUCCCCAUAACACGGGAAGUGGUAGAGGUGGAGCUGCUAUUAUAAAAGGCUCAAUGCGGCAUCCAUAUUCUUUACCCAGCCUUUGCCUACAAACCUGCUAUCCUUGCCAUUGCUGCCUCCUGCGACUGCCAUCUUUAACUUCCAGCUCAAAGUUCUUUCUGCAACGUCAAUGGCGAAGAGCGACUCGAAGAAAAGGGCCGAGUUGAUGACCAAGGAGUGGAACAAAUCCUCGAGCAGCACAAGGUCCCUCAACGACCUCGUUGGAAUGGGUCUGCUACAUAACCAGGAGCUCGGCAGCUGGAGGCCGCCAGAGGGGGAGAGCUACCCCAACCCUCGCGCCGGUGAGAUUGUUGUUUUUGAGGAUUUCUUCAAGAGGGGCUUUGGGAUUCCUGUCCAUCCUUUUCUCUAGGGCCUUCUUCUUUACUACGAGAUCGGGAUCUGCAACCUGCACCCGAACUCCAUUCUCCUCAUUUCUACCUUUAUCCACCUGUGCCAUGCCUAUGUUGGAAUAGAGCCGCACUUCGACCUCUUCCGUUAUCUUUUCUGUUUGCGGAAGAAAGGAGCAGUUGGCAGCUCCAAUAUUACAGGUGAAGUAUACCUCCAUCUGCGUGACGGGAUGAAUAACCGAUACCUCAGCUGCCCAUGGAAAACUUCCCUCACCGAAUGGUACAAGAACUGGUUCUACAUCAGGGAGGAGCCGGGCAGCGCCACGUUCUGCGACGUGGGCUACAUCCCCGAGAAGAGGGUCAGCUGGACAGAUCGUCCAGAGUACGAUGGCCAAGUGGCAGAGCUGAUGAGCCCGAUCGACUGGUCCCGCUUAGACGUGCCAGGAGUGGUCGGUAACUUCCAUGUGCGAUGGGUGAUGCCCUGCCAGAGGAGGGUGCAUUCGGCGUAUGAGUACGCGCGGAGCCAAGACCCGACCAGGAUGUGCCCGGGUGGUCUGGAGAAAACGGAGGUCCACCAGUUGAUGAACGAGUUGUUCAACUUGUCUAAUGACAAUUUCAUUCGAAGCGAUGAUCGGAUGCACGCCUUCAAGCUAGGACGACCAGCUCCUAAGGUAAACGGGUACUGUUAUCGAUAUGUAUCGUCAUGUGAAUACUUGUUGUUUCUUGGUUGAUGACUUGUCGUUGGUUCUGCUGCAGAUUGGAGACAUUGACGGGUGCUCAGUGUAUAUAUCACUGGCACCUGGUAUGGAACAGCCUGCUAGGGUGGACCCGGCAGUAGACGAUGCUGCUCGGUGUACCCAAUACACCAGUAGCGAAGAAGAGCAGAACCGACCGGCACCGACCACCGAGGAUAGGGUGGCGGGGAAGAGGCCAAUGGCCGUAGAGCCAUACCCUUCGGAGGCAUUGCCGGCGGAGACCAGCCAGGCUUCGAAGCGUCGUUGGCUCCUGAGGAUCACUGACGACGAGACGAAGAGGAGGAGGCUGCACCAUCUCUAGUCCGGAGACCGCGCAGUCGGCCUGACGUUGCGCCGGCCGCCGCUGGUCAGGAGACCAGUGAUCCUCCGGCCCCGCACACCGAGCCGACGCAACGUGGGGGGUAGAGGCAAUAGCGGCGACUGGUAGGGCCAGGAGGAGGUUCUUCGCCGCGACGCACAGGCGCUCCGACCUGUGAGUUCUACAACUCGUCUUCUGCACUUCCUCCUUGUUGUUUUUGUUUUUUUUUUGUUGUGGGUUUGUAACGUUGCCGCAAUAUCUUCUUUUGCUAGUGCGGCAUCAGAUGUUGAUCCGGGCAACGUCGCCGGCCAAAGAACGGCCGAGGCCGGCGGUUGUUGUUGAAAACGCCAACGAGCAGACCACCCAGGAGCCAACCGAGGAGCAGCCCACGGUAGUGAUUGCGGCGGAGACUGCCGAGGAGGGCCCGGCUCAAGCGAAGACCGGGGCGAGCAUGCCGACAAGGGAUGAUGAGGCUGCAAGGACGCCUCCCCUGAGCAGUGUCAUGGAUGAGGGAGACAGAGCCCCGACUCCCCCACCUGCUGAAGAAAGGAAGGCCCCAACUCCACCCCAGGCAGAGACUUCUUCGCCAAAGGGCUCCUCUGGUCGGGAUAAGGGUCCUGUGAUACCUAUUACCACGGCUGGGGGUAGUACAGAGGGCGAGGAGGCCCAGGCGACCUCCGACAACGAGGUGGAGGAGAUCCAGGGGCGCCCCCAAGAUGGUCGCCAGCACGUUCUCGUGUGGCGCCAAUGUAGGGACCACUUCAUCGGUCAUGAAGAGCUUGCCGAGACCGAGGAGGCGGCCAGAGUAGAGCGCGCUGCCAAACGGCUCAUCGAAGAAGUCAAGGUAUGUAUUCUCGUGUUCUGCCCAAAAUGUGUAUGUAGUGUUGUUUGUUUCACAAUACGUGUAAUUCCUGCAGGGCGCAAUGAAAACGGCGAAGUACCAAAGGAGGUGCUUCGACCAAAUUGAAGGGGUCGUGGCCGAGAAUAAGGCCCUGAUCACAGAAGUGGACCACCUUCGGUCAGAAGCCGAAGAGAAGGCGGCCGAGAAGGUGGCUCAGUAAGAGCGCCUGCUCGAUCUUAACCAGCGACUAGCCGAGAAGGAUCAGGAGAAGAAAUGUAAGUCAUGCGCUCCGAGCAGCUAUAAUUUAACUGCGUGGUCUGUUUUGUUGACCAGCUAUUUCUUUCUGCAGAUCUCGAGGAGGAGAUUGAGCGCCUCCGAGCCGAAAGUGAGCGACUCGACCAGGAGCGCGCCGGCGCACUGGAGGCCGGGCGCAAGGCUGGUGAGGAGCUGAGGAACAAGAGUCAAGAAUUGGCUGGUAAGGGCCGUUUCGCCCUUUGUUGACUACGCAAUGUUCCUCUUUUCAUGUUUGUACUGACUUCUGGCUUGGUUCUCUUUGUAAAUUUUAUCAUAGUGCUUAAAGUUAACACCAAGAAGCACCUCGACGAGCUGGUCAAGGACCUAGACUCCUGGAAGACCAAUUGUAUCAAGAUCUGGAAAGGAGUAGCCCCGGUGCUCGACUUGAUUAGCCCCGAGCUCCCCGAAGACCAGCCCCACGCACCGAGGCUGACUCCGGUCGAGAAGGCGCAGCAAGCGUGGGGUUGGUUGCAGCAGUUCGUAAAGGACACCGGAGAGUUCGCCGGAGCGCACGUCCUCAGCAUGGUACAUGCCCACUACCCUCUAGUUGAUCUGUCCCGGCUGGAGAGGGGGUAUCCCAAGGAGGUUGGUCCGUAGGAGGCAGAUGACCUUCGUGUCGGCCUGCUCGACCUGUCGUCGACAGUGAUCGGUGACAUAAACCUCUGUGGGAUGUCAACUCCCCUCAACCAACCCGGAUCAGACAGGUCAGCCAGGGAGUUGUCGGGGGCGUCCAUUGCAGGAGAUGAGCGGUCGACGCCUGCGGUCUCGACCAGCCAGAUGCCGGUGGCCCCGACCCCUUCGACUUGACAGCAGGACCGUGCGGGUGAUCAGCCCGAGCAGUAGGCCUAUAAAGUAGUCUGUAGGAGUAGACUAGAGACCGCCCAAAGAGGUGUUUAUUGUAAACUUUGUCUAUAAAGUUUGUAAUAAACCUUAAUUUAUCAUAACCAUGGUUUUGAGCGCUGUAACAUUGUUAGAGUGAUGCGUCACUGUGUCGAGUUGACGACCUUUGUCCUUGAUAGUAGUUGUAGCACUUGUCGAAUGCUCUGCGUAUGAAAAAAUGUACACAACAAGAAAGACAAGUUUUAUUAUUACUCAUUGUAAAAGAUUUACAAAUGAAGUGUACUGGGGCUUAGGGAUAAGAACGGCGCAGUUUGUCUAUGUGCCAGGAGUUGGGCAAGCGUGUUCCGUCUGGGUACACCAGUCUAUAAGAUGUAGGGCGUGUAACUUCGGCGACCACGAAGGGUCCUUCCCACGAUGUAGAUAACUUGUGCAUUCCUUCCUAGUUUGUUUUCCAUUUGAGUACCAGAUCACCGACCACGAAGGAGCGACCUUUGACGUUCCUGUUGUGGUACCGCCUGAUAGCUUCGAGAUACCUCAUUGUUCGAAGGCACGAGAUUAGGCGCUUUUCUUCUGUGCAAUUGAUUUCAAGCUCACUGGCGAGGUCGGGCGAAGGCUGGUUGAAAUGUUCAACUCUUAGAGAUCCGAAGACCACAUCCGAAGGGAGCACUGCCUCGGUGCCGUAAACCAUGAAGUAGGGUGAUACACCCGUGUUUUGACUAGUCUGUGUUCGAAGACCCCAGACCACAGCCGGUAACUCUUUCAUCCAUCGUCCUGGUGCUCUGUCGUUUUCAGUAUACAGCCUUUUCUUCAGAGCAUCGAUAAUCAUUCCGUUUGCUCGCUCCACUUGACCGUUGGCCCGCGGGUGGGCUACCGACACGUACUUUAUGACUAUGCCUCUAUCAUCACAGAAGUCCCAGAAUGUAGUGCCGGUGAACUGGGUGCCUAGGUCCGUAAUUAUGCUGUUAGGAACUCCGAAUCUGUGUAUGAUUUGAUCGAGGAACUCCACAGCCUUCUCGUAAGUUGCUUUGACCAGUGGCAUGUACUCGAUCCAUUUUGAGAAUUUGUCGAUUAGCACGAACACAAAUUUGAAGUUGCCGGGGGCCGGCUUGAAUGGCCCGAUCAUGUCGAGGCCCCAACAAGCGAACGGCCAAGAUGACAGAAUCGUUUGUAUCUCGUGAGUAGGUACGUGGGUCCGCUUGGCGAAGAACCGGCAUCCUUCACAAUGCUUGACUAGUUUCUCGGUGUCGGUAACUGCUAUUGGCCAGUAAAAACCUGCUCGGAAAGCUUUCCCGGCCAGUGUUCUGGAGGCGGCAUGGUUACCACAGGACCCGGCGUGUAUGUCGUUCAGUAGCUUGAUGCCAUCGUCCUAGGAUAUGCACUUCAGCAAUACUUCUGAGCUUACGUUCUUACGCAUAAGUUUGCCUUCGACCAGUAUCUAAUUCUUAGACCGCCGCAUAAGGCGCUCGUUUUCCGUUUUAUCUUGGAAUCCCAAACCGUCCGAUAAGUACUUGAUGAAGGGAGUGCGCCAGUCGUGACUGCUGGUUGUCGGAGUAGUAUCGUCUAUGAGCAUAGCCUCAUUGGGUGGCUUGUCGACCAGGUCUGUGUCGAUGCUUGGGGUGUGAAUAUCUUGGACGAAAACACCUUGCGGGAUCUAGGCCCGAGAUGAUCCUAUCUUCGACAACACAUCUGCUGCCUGAUUCCUGUCCCGGACGACGUGGAUGUAUUCGAUGUCGUAAAAAUUGGAUUCCCAUUUCCAAAUUUCUUUGCAAUAGAGGUCCAUCUUCUCGUGAGUUGUGUCCCAUUCCUUAUUUAACUGGUUGAUGACCAGGGCGGAGUCGCCGUGGAUGUAAAGACGUUUGACUCCCAGUUCGAUAGCCAGUCGGAUGCCAUGCAAGGAUGCUUCGUAUUCGGCGACGUUGUUAGAUACCGGGAAGAGAAUCCUAAGGACAUAGCGGAGUUUGUCCUUGUUUAGUGACACAAAAAGUAUCCCGUCGCCGGCGCCAUUGAUGUUUAGGGACCCGUCGAAGAACAUUAACGAGUGGUCGGAGGUAUCGGGAGGGGGGGCUCAUUGAGGUCCGUCCACUCCGCAAUUAUGUCGACCAGGGCCUGGGACUUGACGGUAGUGCGACUCUGGAAAUCCAGGGAGAAUGGGCAUAAUUCCAUUGCCCAUUUUAUAAUUCUGUCGUUGGCGUCCUUGUUGCGUAAAAUGUCCCCCAGAUGAAAACUUGUAGUUACUAAGACCCGAUGGCCGUCGAAGUAGUGCUUCAGCUUCCUUGAGGUUAUCAGGAUGGCGUAGAUUAACUUUUGUAUCUGAGGAUACCAGGUCUUGGAUUCGUCUAGGACUUCGCUUAUGAAGUAAACAGGCCUCUAGACUUUGUAGAUGUGGCCAGGUUCGUCCCGCUCGACCACCAUUGCCGUGGAGACAACUCGAUCGGUUGCUGCUAUGUAAAGGAGCAGGUCCUCAUUAGGUUGAGGUGCUGUGAGGACGGGUGGUGAGGUGAGGAAAGUUUUGAGCUAGGUGAACGCAGCGUUAGCUUCCUCUGUCCGGGAGAAUUUUUCCGACGGCUUUAGAAGUUUGAAGAAAGGGAAGGCCUUUUUCUCCAAACCUAGAGAUAAACCGGCUGAGAGCGGCCAUACAUCCGGUGAGCUUUUGAAUAUCCUUGACAUUCUUGGGUGGUCGCAUAUCGAGCACCGACUUGAAUUUUGAAGGAUUUGGUCGUAUGCCGUCGUGGCUGACGACGUUGCUGAGUAGUAGACCAGAGGGGACCACAAAGAUACAAUUUUUGGGGUUAAGCUUCCACUUGUAUUUAUUCAGUGCCUUAAAAGUUUGGUCCAGAUUGUCGAUCAGAGUGCUCGCGUGCCUUGUUUUGAUGACGACGUCAUCGAUGUAGGCCUCGAUGAGGUCAUCACGGAUCUCGUCGUGGAGGCAUUGCUGAAUGACUCGUUGAUAAGUGGCUCCAGUAUUUUUGAGUCCGAAGGACAUGGUGGUGUAGCAAUAUGCACCAAAAGGAGUAAUAAAAGUUGUUUUGAUCUGGUCGUCUUCCUUUAGUGAAAUCUGGUGGUAACCAGAGUAACAGUCUAGAAAAGAGAGGAGUUCGCAUCCGGCCGUUGAGUCGACCACCUCGUCGAUACAAGGGAGACCGAAAGGAUCUUUAGGACAGUGUUUAUUGAGAUCAGUGUAAUCAACGCACAUUCUCCAUUCAUUAUUCUUUUUCCUUACAAGAACCGGAUUGGCGAGCCAAUUAGGAUGAUACACUUCUUUAAUGAAUCCGGCUGCUAGAAGCCGUGUUAUUUCUGUCCUUAUAGCCUCUUUUUUGUCACGAGCGAACCGUCAUAGUUUCUGCUUGAUGGGUCUUGCGGUCAACGAGACGUUUAAGGAGUGAUCGAUCAGGUUUCGUUGGACGCCGAGCAUGUCUGCGGGUUUCCAUGCGAAAACGCUUACGUUGUCCCUUAGAAACCUGACGAGCGCGUCUUCCUAUUUAGGAUCCAGGUUGGCCCCGAUGAGAGCCAUCUUCUCGGGGCUGCCGUCGACCAGCUGUACCUCCUUGUGCUCUUUGGUCUUUGAGUUUUUCCUCGGAGUCUCCUGCUCGGGUAGCUGGAGCUGGUCGGGUGAAACUUGCGUGGCUUGGGCUAUAGUUUCUACCAUGCGAAUCGAGAGAUCGAUUGCCUCAGUGAUCUUGAAGCUUUCCUCCUCGCAAGUGUAUGCGGUGUAGACGUUGCCUCUGACAGUUAGGACACCCUUCUCUGUUGUCAUCUUGAGGACCAGGUAUGAGUAGUGUGGAACUGCCAUGAACUUGCUGAGCGAUGGUCGGCCUAGAAUUGCAUGAUAGGUGCCAUCGAAGUCGGCGACCACAAAGUUGACGAACUCUGUGCGGAAGUGGUCCGGUGUUCCAAACUAGACGGGCAGCGUUAUCUGCCCGUGGGGUACUGAACUUUGGCCUGGUAGGAUGCCCCAAAACUGAGCAUCGUACGACUUUAGUUGCGCUGGGGUUAGCCUGAGGGCAGGGAAGCUGUUGCGGAAAAGAAUGUCAAUGGAGCUGCCCCCUGUUGACGGUCCUUAAUGCUCACAUUUAAUAGUCAACUAAUCAUAGCAAAGAAUCCAAAUGAAACCAACACCUAGACUUAGGGUUAUAUCUGACAGAAUUCAAUUAAGUUUUGGUGUUUGUCUUUUUCUACAGGGGGUUAUCAGGAAAUACGGAAGAAAGGCCCACACGUCGGGUUUACAUAGAGAUAUUAACGUGCCGCGCAAUUUUCUACCAUCUAGAAGACUAUAGAAGCCACGAGAACGAACGAGAAGGCAAUCGGGCUCGGAGACAGGGCGCCCGCCCUACUCUCCUAGGCGCCCGCCAACCUUUUGUGUCCAAUCCAGACCCGUUUCGCGGAUUAUGCUCCACCGACCUAAAGGAGCAAGGAAAACAGUGCGAUUAAUGUCAGUUUGAUCCGACGGCCCAGAUUCAUCUGAAAAGACUAUAUAAGCAAGGCCCCUGGCCCCUGGAGAUCAUACCUCUUCUACACAAUCAAAGUUAGGGUUUCAAUUCUUUAUCCAAGUAGAGAGGAUCCCUCUAGUUCAUCUAGUUCUAGUUCUAGUUCAUCUAGUUCUAGUUUUAGUUAGUUCUAGUUGUAAUCUAGAAAAUAUGGAGAGAGAAGAGGAGAGCGGAGGAGAAGCCGGAUCUGUCGGAUCUUCCUCAACAUUAUUCUUUUACAGCAACUGGUUCGUUCUUCAUCGUUCUACAAGUUCUUCAAUUCAUAAUUCCUGAGUUAUUUAAUUACUUUUAUUUACAUUCAAGUUAUUUAUUGGAUUCCCGCUUGCAUCAAGUGCUCUAGUCAUUAUAACGCUAGAGUAGUGAUUAAUAGAUUAGACGUGGUGUUUAGUCUUGCAAUUACCUUGAAUUGCAUCCAAUCCUACGGAUUGUUGUGGUAGCCCUAGGGUAGUGACAGCCCUAACGGUCGACGUAUUCCACCUCGUUCGGAUCAGUGUUUGUAGGACUGUAGUCAGAGCUUCCUAGCCCCCUUCUCAUCUCUUUCUGUGGUUAGUGUUCUGAUGUCCCGAAAUAGAUAAUCUUGAAGUAAUUCUUGAUUCUUAGAUCAACUAGAGAACUCUCAGGAAACUUCCUCUCUUUCUACCAAAAAUAAUUAUAUAUUUAUCCUUGGGUGAUCUUGAAUCUUAAUUAGUACACUCACAUUCCCUGUGGAAAGUCGAUAAUCUGGAAUACUCCUAGGUGAAGGCUACAUCGGUAUCCGUGCGCUUGCGGAUUUUUUCUCUUUGCGUUUAAAAUACGCAACAAGCUUUCUAGCGCCGUUGCCGAGGAACGGUAGCUGUGCUAGUUUCGAACCAAGUCGUCCGUGUAUCAUUUUUUUCCUUUUUUACCACACUCACCUUAUCAUUUUCAUCAUACCACAUGGAUUUCACUCUAAGCAUUAAUGAGCAUGAAAUUUAUUUUAUAGCCACUUCAUUUACUACAUGCUCAUAUGCAACAUCUUCCCAAUCCAUUGGUUUUUCCAACAUCACCACAUUCGAGAUCUCCAACCCCUUCUUCCUUUCUAUUUAUAAAAACAUUAAAAGGGCGGUUGUUGAUGCAUAUGUCUAUAAUAAAUUUUACAGAUCUCGUUGAGUUGAUCUUGAUAUAGGUCAGCGUUGGAGGGGAAAUCGCUUCGCCGAUAUAAAUUGAUGGUUUCCCAAGGACAAGCUUAGUGUCCUAAAAUAUGCACUAAUCAAAUCAUAACAUGAGCUUUUAAUUAUUUGCAACAUUACCUUGUGAGUUGAGCAUAUAAGGAUAAUUGUAAAAAUAUCCCUUCGGGUAUUCUUGUCACUAACCGUUCCAGGAUUGGAGCAAGAAGGGAUGAAUGACAAGCACAAGGUAUGUCCAACCAAUCAUCAUACAACAUUGAAUUAAAUGCAUCCAAACUUGAAUUUUGCAAAAUUCAAGCUUGGGGGAGUACUUUACAUAAAAACAUCAUUUGCCAUGUUGCUAUGUUGGUUGUCCCUACCUUUGAGACAUGCUAAAUUUGUUAAAUACUAAUAACACUAUUUCAUCUCCACUUGAGUAGAUCUCUAUAAAUGCUCUCAUGCUACCUUUAUUUGCUUUAGUAUAUGUCUAGGUUUGGAGUAGUUUCAUUUAUCUCUUAAUUAAGCAUGGUGCUUAGUUUAGGGCUGAUGAUCUUACUUCCAAGGGAGUUUAAAUUAAGCAUGAUGCUUAGGUUAAAAUACCCUCCUAAAUCAAAUUAGACAUGGUGUCUAGGUUGAUUUUUGAGCCGAUAGUAUGCUAUAGUAGAUAUGGGAUAUUUUGUUGGACUAACCCCAACAGGAAAACUUUCAAUAUCGAUUUGGGAAGUCCUGAGAUAAACUCACAUCGGAGACAAAGAGAGAGACACAUGAAGUUUAACAAUUUACACAAGGAAGGCAUAGCUCACAAGAGAUGAUCCAUGGACGGUGCCACAAACACGAUGCACAACCGCUAAGAAAGGAAAGCUUCCAUAAGGUGAUACUGUACCAUCACUCUUCAAGUAAGGUAACAUCUUAAGGUACUUAACUAUCACUUUUAUAAGCUUCUCCUUGGUUCUGGCGUUCACAUGAAUAAAAGAGACAAACAUGUGUGAUUUACAACUCUAGAUUAACCAACCCAAUCGAUUCAAUAUGUUUAGUCCUUCCACCUUUGUGAUCCCACACUCCUAAUCAUAUGAGCUAAAAUGUUGCACAUUCAAUCUUUGGGAAGAUAUAAAAAAAGACAUAUACAUAGAUAAAUUAUCUUUCCAUAAGGUUGAGCGAUCUGAUCUGACAAAUGUUUUAAAUGCUACACUCAUGAUCUUAUUAUCCAUCAACUUUGUCUUGCUCACUAUGCUUAAGGUUAGAGAAGAACAAAUACACUUUUGGUUCUGUUGGUGUUUUCCACCAACAGGGCCCAUGCACUUGAUCUCUGCCUUGUCUCUAUGAGCAGGUACACGUCGAGCAAAAUAUGAAGGACUUUUACAACUCCCAGACUCAACCAAGUGAAGAACCUAGAUCUACGAGCACAAACACACUGGAGAUACUGGACACUUAGGCAAUCACUGCCCUAAAAUGCUUCGGGACGUAACUAUUGGAGUAACCCUAUUGUGGAAGUAAUUACUGACCUUCUGCCGGUCAAGAGAGACAAUCCAGGACGCCCCGUCAUCGCGAUCUCCAUCGGCAUGGUGGACUUCCUAGAAGCACUCUGCGACUUUGGCUCCAGCGUCAACAUUAUGCCCAGGGUACUCUCUGAAAAAUUCUUUACACAUCCUUUACUAGAAACAACCAUGUGUUUGCAGCCUGCAGAUUGGACACUAAGUUCCCCAAAGGGAAUAUUGAAGAACCUCUGCGUCCGAGUUGGUACCUUGUACGCCCCAGCAGACUUCAUGGUGAUAGAGACUGGUACUGAUGAGAAGGCACCCAUCAUCCUAGGGAGGCCAUUCCUGAACACCUCAGGAGCUGUCAUCUACGCUAGUGCUGCCAAGAUCAGUUUCUACAUCAAGAGGAGGAAGGAGACGUUUUCCUUCAAGAACAAGACUACACAAAUCUCAGAGCAAUCCCGACAUGAACCAAGGAAGAGGACCAACAGGAGGAAUGGGAACAAGCAAAUGUGGACCAAGUCAGCUAAGAUGGUCACUGCAGUUUAAGGAGGUCAAGACCGUUGACUUAAGUCACCGUUCCUGACCAAAAAGGAUGACCCAGAUUUUCAGGUUAUUGACAUGGGAGAAGACGAGUACAAUCCACCCAUCAUCCUUGGAAGACCGUUCCUCAGCACCGUUAAAGAAAUCAUUUACAUUGGAAUCAGAGAAGUCCACAUGCACUUCCCUUCUAAGAAGGUACGUCGCUAUUUUACUGACCCUAACUAUAUAGUUGAAGACUCUAAGCAGGUCAGGACAAGAAGAAGACGACGCAACCGCAAUUAGAGAAGGCAAAUCAUCAAGGACGGAUGGGCAGACUAUGAAGGAAGAGUAGUAAGGUCUGAAGACAUACAGCUUGAACAGAACUGUUCUAAGGAGACCGUAGCACCGAGUCAGGUGUGGAGAGAGAAGAUAGUUAUACAUGAGGAGGAGGCGCCGCCGGAACCACCGACUACGCCAUCCAGCGAAUCCCAGGACAACUGAGAAGACGGAGAGUCCCAUUCGGAGGACUUAAAAACACUGAACGCCUUGCCAAGAUGUAAACUUGGUAGUUAUCCUUUUCCCUUCAAUUAUUUAUUUUCCUUAAAUAGUGUGCUUAGUUAAUCAAGUUCAUAUCAUCUUGAAAAGAAAAUAAAAAUGUUAAAAAUAGUAAGCCCCAUGUGAGUAUGCUCAUGGCAUAAAACCCAUAAGUACAUUCACUGUGGUGGCGUAAAAAUGAAAUAAAUAUAUUUCUGUCCUAUAAAAACGAAAAUAUAAAAAUAAAUUUAUGAUCCUACCAAAGAGUGUAACAUUCAUUGAGGAGGCUCAACAUGAUAAUGGCUAGAUAUUUAUGCUAACACUUAACUAGUUCCACAAAGCUUUGUUGUCUGUUUGAGCUCCACAGAAUUCAAGGAUCAAAGAGACUAGCAGACGGAGGACAUCCUAAUCGCAAUCAGGGUGCUGCCGACAUUCAAAUACACCUCCAGCACCUGCUGGUUACUCAUGUUUAUACUUUACUCAAAUAAUAAAAAGAUGCAUAAUCAUAAAAACCCAAGUAAAGAUUUUGUGCUUAUAUACAUAUAUCUAGUUUGCUAAAUAAAUAAAUAAAUAAAGUCUGCUAUGAUCCCUCAUGAUAAGCUCUCACAUGGAAAUGAUGAAUAGUUGCUCUGCCAUGACUAGUUCUCAAAAUUAAAUUCUCUCUCAAAUUUAGGCAUGACUGUUAUGAAUUAAGAUUUGCUCUAAACCUGAACUUGUGGGAAGAGAACUUGAUCUGAAGUCUAAGUUGUUAAUGGAUAUGAUAUGGGAAGGUUAAGCUACUGUUUAUCUCUUCCUAGAGAUGCUAGAAUUCUGGAGAAUUUUAUCUUUGAAAAUCUUUAAAAUGUUGCAUGAUGAGUUCCUGUAUGAUGAGAGUUUAAAUUCCUACCACAUCCAUAUAUACAUGCUUGCUAGACUUUGAGCCACACAUUUACUUUUACUGCUUAUGAGCAUUGAGUGUGGUUAAAUCAAGAUUCACUUGCAUGUUCACUCGCACAUGCUGCUUCUACUCCGGAAGUAUGCAUCCACAUAUAUCCAUCCAUUUCCAUCUCCAGAAUCACCCAAAAAUAUUCUACUCCUAAUCCGGGAGAGAAUAGCCAAAAACAUUCUCCUAUUCCUGUUUUUCCCUGUGAAAUAAAUGCUUGAGAUAUUUUGGUUACUACCACUUGCUACAUUAUUCUAGGAGGAUGAGUGCUCUGAAAAAAAAAUGAAAACGAGGAAAUAAAAAGGGGCAAGUGCCCGGAACCUCGAAGAAAAGAAAAAGUGAGACGAGAGGUAAAAAUGGACAAGUGUCCGAUAGCAGAAUUAGGGGUAUAAGAUACCCACCUGAGAGAAAAGAAAAAUAAAAUAUAGAGCAUCUCAUUCUCCUCAAAAAGUUUCAAAAGAGCAAGAAAGGUAUGUAUCCCCUCAAAAGAGCAAAAGUAGAAUUAGACUUUCACCAUUGUUAUCACCAUCAUUACCAUGCACCAUUCAUUCACCACACAUGCACAUCUUGAUUUGACUUAUUGACUUGUUCUUCGGGAUCCAUGGUUUGACUAUGCAAUAAAUGUCUUGUAAGUAUGUAUUAGCUGUCUCCCACCUAUGAGCUCUAGAUAUCAAAAUCCUUAUUAGAGUAGGGUGAUAGAGAAGGCAAUGUCACUAUGCCUCAUACCAAAAAUACCACAUACUUUGAGAGAAGGCAUACACCUUUACUGCCUUGGUAAGGAUCCAGAAAUACCACAAAAGAGAGACUAGAGAGAGUCAUACAAGGAAUCUCUGAGUUUUAUUUGAAAAUCUGCAAAAACUCUAGAGCUAUAGUUAUUCGAAGAACAAGAGACAUGGCGCUUGACUAGACCAUUCUAUCUUUUAACUGCUCAAGACACAGGUGAUGGUUGCAAGCCCCAUGGUGGAAGGUAAAAUGAGUAAGUUUAAAUCUUAACAGUUUACCCUAACCCAGAGAUG
Molecule: long non-coding RNA, 34594 nt
Filed under: Sorghum bicolor (sorghum)
Lineage: Eukaryota; Viridiplantae; Streptophyta; Magnoliopsida; Poales; Poaceae
Description: long non-coding RNA (SBIC_LNC017430)
Source: RNAcentral